Molecule: long non-coding RNA, 1659 nt
Organism: Populus euphratica (Euphrates poplar)
Lineage: Eukaryota; Viridiplantae; Streptophyta; Magnoliopsida; Malpighiales; Salicaceae
Exons: 2
Source: RefSeq, a predicted model, not a curated record
UUGCUUUGUGGAAGACUUUGAAGGUAUUAAACCACGUUGAGUUAUAUAUUGAUUGUUCAAUUCUGGUCCCUAUUGCUCUUGGAUUGACAUAAUCCUGGGUUUUUAUGUUCCUAAUCUUUAUUCCCGACCAAUUUAGUCUCUUGAUUUAAUUUUUAAGCCUUUUUGCAAGCAAUCAUGAAUAGAAACAUGGGAAUCAUGGCGCUGAACAUUUGGUUCAGAAAUGUUUUGCUAUGUGACAUGAAGUUUUUGACAUUGAAUUUCAUUGACUCAGGAUCCUUAAUUUUGACCUGCUGCAUCCUUUCCAUUUAGUUGGGCAAGAAAAUAAUUAACAGUUCGUGGAGAUUAACUUAUUGCUGUUAUAAUCAUCAUCUGCUACUGUGAAAGUACUUUACAGGCUGUUCAAUGGAUGCAAGAAUGGCAUAUCUUGUACGCUGUCCUUUAGUUGGUGGGGCCUCUGCAUUGCAGCAGUUUAAAGCCACCUGGUUUUCUGUAGAAACACUGUCCUCGUUAUUGUUUUAUUUCUAUCUGGGCAACCACGAUAUAUGAACUCGUUGUCGAUUGUCUUGUUUAAUUAUGUAACAUUGACCCACAUCUUGGCAUCCAUGAAAAUUUGUUUUUUUCGUAUCUCUUGGUAGCCUUGAAAAAUUGUUAUCUUUAAUCUUCCCCCCUUCCCCGAGGAGAAUCUUGUGUUGUCAAGUCUUACUCGAUUAUGUAUGGGCAGGUGCAAAGAUGAAAAUAAAGGAGAACGGAUUCCGUGCUUGUUUCGAAUUCUUGACAUCCUUCCUAAAGUAAUUUGAUAGGUCAGGAAGGAGCUUGUGCAUGGUAGAAUGGAGACAUCGAUGGCACUAAAAGUGACUGCUCAUCUUAUUUUUGGCGGUUUACAUGGAACCGUAGAAGCGUAAAGACUUGCACAGUGCACAGUGAUCUUAAAGUAAGUAAUUUUCACGGAAUGAUAUGUGAAUAUCCUGUGUGAACUCAGUUCCAUUGUAUGCAUAUUAACCGAGCUGAAAAAGUUUACCUGCAAGUUAUAUCCCAAAAUAGCCUAGUCUCUAGACUUGGAAAAGAUGAGCAUUUGGAGGAAAGCUUUGUGAAUUUACGACGCCGGUUCAACCAAUCACUGCGAAGGAUGCUUAUUCAACAGCCUGUUUUUUGGAUGCCACGUGGCAGAAAGCUGCCGCUUGCAAUUCCAUCCGUAGGUUCUGAUGUAUAUCUCGGUGUUCUGACAUGAAUCCAUCAUAUGAUAACAAGGUAUUGGACAAAGGGCACGACAUUCCUUCAGGAUGUUUGAUUGCAUAAACUAAAAUAAUUGAACCUUGUUCCAGCACACAAAUUGUCCUCACCUUCGGUUUAUUCAAUUGCUUUCUUGUUCUCCCUCCGAGCUUCCAUGCUUAUGGCCAUGCCUUGGCACUGGACUAGGUCGCAACCAACUUGGGCCAGGUGCCAUGUUCAUGCAUCAAUGUGGAUAUAGCAGAUCCUAGUGGGGUCUAUUCUUCAGCUGAGAAUUGUCCGAACUCUUUUUCCUAUCGUAAGGACAUUUCAGCGAGAGCCUAAUUAAUGUCCCUGAAGUCAUAUGCUUAUCAUCACCGGUGCUGAAAAUUCAAGCUCUUGUAUAAUACAUAAUGUAAUCAUAAGAAGAGAUGUCAGUGGUAAAAUUUAAGA